GUGAGUAACACGUGGGUAACCUGCCUGUAAGACUGGGAUAACUCCGGGAAACCGGGGCUAAUACCGGAUGCUUGUUUGAACCGCAUGGUUCAAACAUAAAAGGUGGCUUCGGCUACCACUUACAGAUGGACCCGCGGCGCAUUAGCUAGUUGGUGAGGUAAUGGCUCACCAAGGCGACGAUGCGUAGCCGACCUGAGAGGGUGAUCGGCCACACUGGGACUGAGACACGGCCCAGACUCCUACGGGAGGCAGCAGUAGGGAAUCUUCCGCAAUGGACGAAAGUCUGACGGAGCAACGCCGCGUGAGUGAUGAAGGUUUUCGGAUCGUAAAGCUCUGUUGUUAGGGAAGAACAAGUACCGUUCGAAUAGGGCGGUACCUUGACGGUACCUAACCAGAAAGCCACGGCUAACUACGUGCCAGCAGCCGCGGUAAUACGUAGGUGGCAAGCGUUGUCCGGAAUUAUUGGGCGUAAAGGGCUCGCAGGCGGUUUCUUAAGUCUGAUGUGAAAGCCCCCGGCUCAACCGGGGAGGGUCAUUGGAAACUGGGGAACUUGAGUGCAGAAGAGGAGAGUGGAAUUCCACGUGUAGCGGUGAAAUGCGUAGAGAUGUGGAGGAACACCAGUGGCGAAGGCGACUCUCUGGUCUGUAACUGACGCUGAGGAGCGAAAGCGUGGGGAGCGAACAGGAUUAGAUACCCUGGUA
Molecule: ribosomal RNA, 701 nt
Filed under: Bacillus stercoris
Lineage: Bacteria; Bacillati; Bacillota; Bacilli; Caryophanales; Bacillaceae
Description: bacterial SSU rRNA
Rfam family: Bacterial small subunit ribosomal RNA
Source: RNAcentral